Molecule: long non-coding RNA, 558 nt
Filed under: Coffea arabica (coffee)
Lineage: Eukaryota; Viridiplantae; Streptophyta; Magnoliopsida; Gentianales; Rubiaceae
Description: long non-coding RNA (CARA_LNC008150)
Source: RNAcentral
UUUUUUUUUCUUUUUUUUUCUUUCCACUUUUUUUUUCUUUUUACAGCAUAGAUAAUAAUAAAUUCCUCAAAAGAAUAAUCAUGAGAAAAGUAUUGCACUUAUUGACCAUAUUUAUCACUUAACUUAUAAAAUCCAAUAAAGAAAAGAAAUUUCAUCAAAUAUGCAAAAAAAUAUAGGUAUAAUUUUCUCCACUUUAAAAGAUAUACUUUCCUACAAAUGCAAAAAUUAUAAUCACAUAAUAGUCAUUUCCAAGUUAAAUGAGAAAAGAAGUUUCCAAAUCACAUAUAUUUAUCUCAAAUGUAGAAGGAAUUUGAACUACUAAUGGUAUGAAACUUGUUACCCCUUGGAUAAAAUUGAAAAAAUAUGAAACUUUUUGGGGCAAGUUUGCAAUUUUGGACAAGAUUUUAGAAAAAUUUUGAAUUUUAACACAAGUCCAAUAUUUGCAACUAAUAAUUUAAUCACAUACAAUAUAUAUAAUCUCAAUUCUCCCCCCACACUUAACAUACACAUUGUCCUCAAUGUGUAAAAAGGAAAAUCAAGAUAAAGAAAGUAAUACUC